GAGUUUGAUCUUGGCUCAGAUUGAACGCUGGCGGCAUGCCUUACACAUGCAAGUCGAACGGCAGCACGGGAGCUUGCUCCUGGUGGCGAGUGGCGAACGGGUGAGUAAUGCAUCGGAACGUAUCCUGGAGUGGGGGAUAACGUAGCGAAAGUUACGCUAAUACCGCAUAUUCUGUGAGCAGGAAAGCGGGGGACCUUCGGGCCUCGCGCUCUUGGAGCGGCCGAUGUCGGAUUAGCUAGUUGGUGAGGUAAAGGCUCACCAAGGCGACGAUCCGUAGCAGGUCUGAGAGGAUGAUCUGCCACACUGGAACUGAGACACGGUCCAGACUCCUACGGGAGGCAGCAGUGGGGAAUUUUGGACAAUGGGGGCAACCCUGAUCCAGCCAUGCCGCGUGAGUGAAGAAGGCCUCGGUUGUAAGU
This 419-nucleotide ribosomal RNA is filed under the name bacterium enrichment culture clone ALO1_GLFRUDD03FUG7M. Its description in RNAcentral is "bacterial SSU rRNA". It matches the Rfam family "Bacterial small subunit ribosomal RNA", at positions 9 to 430 of the family's 1533-position model. The record is from RNAcentral.